This 250-nucleotide long non-coding RNA is filed under the name Fragaria vesca (wild strawberry). RNAcentral describes it as "long non-coding RNA (FVES_LNC002300)". The record is from RNAcentral. Lineage: Eukaryota; Viridiplantae; Streptophyta; Magnoliopsida; Rosales; Rosaceae.
CUUCUGGGGCCGCCACGGCUGCGCCUUCGACGCCUCCGGCCGCGGCCGCUGCGCCACCGGCGACUGCGGCGGCAACCUCUACUGCUCCGGCCUCGGCGGCACCCCUCCCGCCACCCUCGCCGAGAUCACCCUCGGCCACGAGCAGGACUUCUAUGACGUCAGCCUGGUCGAUGGGUACAACCUCGCCAUCUCCAUCACACCCUACCAGGGCUCCGGCAAGUGCAGCUACGCCGGGUGCGUCAGCGACCUG